This 429-nucleotide ribosomal RNA is filed under the name Acidobacteriota bacterium. Its description in RNAcentral is "Acidobacteria bacterium partial 16S ribosomal RNA". It matches the Rfam family "Bacterial small subunit ribosomal RNA", at positions 355 to 776 of the family's 1533-position model. Lineage: Bacteria; Pseudomonadati; Acidobacteriota. The record is from RNAcentral.
UGGGGAAUUUUGGACAAUGGGGGAAACCCUGAUCCAGCCAUCCCGCGUGUGCGAUGAAGGCCUUCGGGUUGUAAAGCACUUUUGGCAGGAAAGAAACGUCAUGGGUUAAUACCCCGUGAAACUGACGGUACCUGCAGAAUAAGCACCGGCUAACUACGUGCCAGCAGCCGCGGUAAUACGUAGGGUGCAAGCGUUAAUCGGAAUUACUGGGCGUAAAGCGUGCGCAGGCGGUUCGGAAAGAAAGAUGUGAAAUCCCAGAGCUCAACUUUGGAACUGCAUUAUUAACUACCGGGCUAGAGUGUGUCAGAGGGAGGUGGAAUUGCGCGUGUAGCAGUGAAAUGCGUAGAUAUGCGGAGGAACACCGAUGGCGAAGGCAGCCUCCUGGGAUAACACUGACGCUCAUGCACGAGAGCGUGGGGAGCAAACAGG